This 440-nucleotide ribosomal RNA is filed under the name uncultured bacterium. Its description in RNAcentral is "partial 16S ribosomal RNA". It matches the Rfam family "Bacterial small subunit ribosomal RNA", at positions 338 to 795 of the family's 1533-position model. The record is from RNAcentral.
CCUACGGGAGGCUGCAGUGGGGAAUAUUGCACAAUGGGGGAAACCCUGAUGCAGCGACGCCGCGUGAGUGAAGAAGUAAUUCGUUAUGUAAAGCUCUAUCAGCAGGGAAGAAAAUGACGGUACCUGAGUAAGAAGCCCCGGCUAACUACGUGCCAGCAGCCGCGGUAAUACGUAGGGGGCGAGCGUUAUCCGGAUUUACUGGGUGGAAAGGGAGCGUAGGCGGCAGUGCAAGUCUGGAGUGAAAGGCGGGGGCUCAACCCCCGGACUGCUCUGGAAACUGUACGGCUGGAGUGCAGGAGAGGUAAGUGGAAUUCGUAGUGUAGCGGUGAAAUGCGUAGAUAGUAGGAGGAACACCAGUGGCGAAGGCGGCUUACUGGACUGUAACUGACGUUGAGGCUCGAAAGCGUGGGGAGCAAACAGGAUUAGAUACCCCGGUAGUC